Non-coding RNA from Patiria miniata (bat star), 74 nucleotides. NCBI's taxonomy places the organism in Eukaryota, Metazoa, Echinodermata, Asteroidea, Valvatida, Asterinidae. The record is from the annotation of a RefSeq genome assembly.
UCCCCAGUGGCGCAAUCGGUUAGCGCGCGGUACUUAUAAUGCCGAGGUUGUGAGUUCGAUCCUCACCUGGGGAA